AAGAAGAUGAGCUAAAAAAGCUAGUGGGUUCAUACCCCAUUUAUAAAGGUUCUAAUCCUUUUCUUUUUA
RNAcentral lists this transfer RNA (69 nucleotides) under Eucryptorrhynchus brandti. RNAcentral's name for it is "tRNA-Met". It matches the Rfam family "tRNA". Rfam says of the family: Transfer RNA (tRNA) molecules are approximately 80 nucleotides in length. Their secondary structure includes four short double-helical elements and three loops (D, anti-codon, and T loops). The record is from RNAcentral. Lineage: Eukaryota; Metazoa; Arthropoda; Insecta; Coleoptera; Curculionidae.